CGUAGGGGCGAGCGUUGUCCGGAUUCAUUGGGCGUAAAGCGCUUUAAGGCGGUUCGCUAAGUCGGGUGUGAAACCUCCAGGCUCAACCUGGGAGACGCCACUCGAUACUGGCGUUGACUAGAGUCCGGUAGGGGGACCACGGAAUUCCUGGUGUAGCGGUGAAAUGCGCAGAUAUCAGGAGGAACACCAGUGGCGAAGGCGGUGGUCUGGGCCGGAACUGACGCUGUAGAGCGAAAGCGUGGGGAGCGAACAGGAUUAGAUACCCUGGUAGUCCACGCCGUAAACGUUGGGCACUAGGUGUGGGGGGUUAUCAACGCCUUCCGUGCCGUAGCUAACGCAUUAAGUGCCCCGCCUGGGGAGUACGGCCGCAAGGCUA
Molecule: ribosomal RNA, 376 nt
Filed under: uncultured organism
Description: bacterial SSU rRNA
Rfam family: Bacterial small subunit ribosomal RNA
Source: RNAcentral